GAGGCAUUAAUCAAAUUAGUAUUUUCUUCAUGUUCUCCUCUCUCUCUCCUCUAACAGAAAUUCAUGCAUUAUUUGCUCACUCUUCUUCUUCUCCUUCUCAUUCUCUUAUAUCAAUUACAGAUUGGAGCUCUAUCCAUGGCGAUUCACAAUUUUAGUUUAUUUUUUCUGUUAGAUACCUGUAAUUUCAGUUAGAUUCCGUUAGGUUUGAAUAUAGAAAAUUGUUGUCCUAAGAUUGUUGAAUUUCGCUGAGUUUAAUUGAAUUUCGUUGAGUUUUAGUUACGUAAUCGAGGUCAGCUCCUGACAAUUGGUAUCAGAGACGCGAUUUGUGCGAACCUGUGGGUUGUAGACAUAACUGAAGGUAUUCGUUCUACGGUUGUAGAGGAUCGGGUAGCUCGACAUGAAGAAAUUUCGGCUGAGCUAGUGAACCAGCAACACGAGCUUCGUAACAGUCAAACAUGGAUACAAGGAACAUUGGAACCACUCGGAGAUGGAUUGCUUCCUUUUCCAGCGCAGGAGAAUAGAAACAACAGGGGAAACAUGGUUCCCAUAUCACCUCCUAAAUGGGAACUGCCUAGCUUUGACGGAUAGGAGCCUAAGAUACGGUUGCGGAGAGAGACUUGUGGCUGACGAUCUUUACUUGUGGACUCUGUUACUGAGGUGAACCUUUGCAUUAUUCAUGGAGGCUGUCAUCCAGCUUUAGUCAUUUUAGAUUAUAUUCCUUUUCAUUAGGUUUGUAUGCUCGAACGCUGAACUCAUGUAACUUGUUUAUAUGCUCCAUGGUCUAGUGUGGGGUUUGGGGUAGAGAUUUGUAAUCUAAACCACUGUUGUUUUCGAAAAUCGUUAUGCGAUAUCUUGUUAAACAA
This is a long non-coding RNA of Capsicum annuum, 863 nucleotides long. RefSeq lists it as uncharacterized. Lineage: Eukaryota; Viridiplantae; Streptophyta; Magnoliopsida; Solanales; Solanaceae. The transcript has 2 exons. The record is from RefSeq and is a predicted model, not a curated record.